This 821-nucleotide long non-coding RNA is filed under the name Rattus norvegicus (Norway rat). Its description in RNAcentral is "long non-coding RNA NONRATT024781". The record is from RNAcentral. Lineage: Eukaryota; Metazoa; Chordata; Mammalia; Rodentia; Muridae.
GGUCCUUUUCUAGGGCGGUCGCACAGGCAGCGGCAGUGCGAAGCUGGCUUCAGCCAACAUGUACUACAAGUUUAGCAGUUUCACGCAGAAGUUGGCUAGUGCUUGGGCUUCGGAAGCCUAUACUCCGCAGGAAGCAGAUGUAACAGGAUCAGGAGUUCAAGACCAGCCUGGGCUGCAAGUGAGUUAAAGGCCAGCUCAGGAUACAUGGACCUGUUGUGAGCCACCAUGGCAGAAACCAAAAAAGGGUUUUAAGCCGGUUUCCAGAGAAGCACCGCCUAUCAUAUUUGCCACACCGACCAAACUGACCUCCAGUGUGACAGCAUAUGACUAUGCUGGGAAGAAUAAAGUUCCAGAGCUACAGAGAUUCUUCCAGAAGGCUGACGGUGUGCCCAUCCACCUGAAACGAGGCCUUCCGGACCAAAUGCUUUACCGGACCACCAUGGCUCUCACAGUGGGAGGGACCAUCUACUGCCUGAUCGCCCUCUACAUGGCCUCGAAGCCCAAAAACAAAUGAAUUUGCCUGUGGAGGACUGGUUUACUUUGUGACACAAACCCUUUGAAUUCUCGAGUUUCAUUUUUUCCCCCCUUGGAUAGUCUCCUUAACAUUUUGCAAACAAAGGAAAAGAUAAGAAUACACUGGUUUGUUUAUGGCGUGCAGAUGGCCUGUCAGAUGUCAGCUUGUUUUACAGUUAGAACUAUUGUUUAAGGAAAUGACACCAAGCCAUCGCUGAGCCAUCGUGCUCCUGGUCUCCCACGAGAUUCUGGGUGAAAGUUGUUCACAAACUCACUCAUGGCCAGCAGUGCUCAGGGCCUCCGGGACU